GACCGGGCCAGUUUCACGGGCCUGCGUCAACCCACACAUCACGACGGCAUCAGGCUCCUCGCCGUGAACGAGCCCCAUCAACCCCCGUCGACUGCUCGGCUGCUCCUCUCCCAACCAUGGCGGCCGUGGCGCCUACCCCCGACAACCUCGAGCCCCCGCCGUCCACUCCUCCAAACACGGCAACCCCACCUCAGGCCACCGUCACGUCCACCCCGCCGAACCAGGCAACCCCUAAUCCCCCGGCCUCCAACCCCACGAUGUCAAGCCCUAACCCUAACCCCGCCCUCGCCCCCGCCCCUCCGGUCGUCCUGCCGCCGUUGCCCCCUGUUCCGGUAUCCUUCGCCCCUUCCUUCCGGCCGCUGGGUGCACCGCCCUCGCCGCAGGUGCAGCAGUACGGUGCUAUACGUAAUCCGGGCUACCUGAUGGGACAGCCGAUGCAGCCGCCAGGCGUGCACCACGUGAUGCGUCCGCCGACCAUGUACGCGCCCCAGCCGGGUCCGUACAUGCAGCAGCCGGGCGUCGCCGUUCCUCCCGGUGGGUCCCGUUCUCCAUCCAUCUCUAGGCUUAUACGAUUGAAUGGCAAUAGAUUUAUGCUUCCGCCUGAUUGUGCCUGGGAAAUCUCCCGACGUUCCAUGUGCUGCGCUGUAGGAAAUCUGGUGGAAUCGACUGGAUAUGUCUUUAACACGCGGGUAGGAUCUGGGAUUAGGGUUUAGAGGUGGGAUGCGCCUGAUGCUAGUGAUUUACAGUAGUGUUUAGAGAAACUGGCAUCCCCUCGCUUGAUAACGAUGACAGGGUAUUUCUCUGCUACAGCGGUGGUCGUGCCGGCCAUUACUCCCUUCAGCGAGAGGUGCCGGCUCAUGUUUGAUUCUGCUGCUCUAACUGAAGCUAUAACAGAUCAUUUUCUCCCUCACUGCAUGUGGUAUGCUGACUGUUUGAAUUUGAACUGGUUAUAUUUAAAUUGUGUGAAAUUGAUUUAAAUGCUUUAGCUUGCCGUUUAAUUAGGCUCGGUUUCUGUAUGUACUUAGAUCCUUCGACAAUGGGUUGUUCAAAAAAUGGGCUAAGGUACCAUGAUUUCCUGUCGCUUAAUUUCAUGUCAAGUAUUUCUUGCUUAAUUUGGUUUAAAUUACUUUUAUCGUUAAUAAGAAGUUUAGAGUGAGUGACACAUUUGCUUAAGCUUUUAUAUCUUGAGUAGUGCAAUGCAAUGGUGUGAGCUGUCCCAAGUUUUGCAAAUAACCAAUACAAGUACGUUAUCCUGCCUAAUGGGCGCUAAGAGGUAAGGCUAGCUUUCCCUAGUUCUUAUUUUAUUUGAAAAUAAUAUUGUUUUUUUGUCGAUGUUCAUCCCGGUUAUUCUGAAUAUGCAAGAUACCUGCUUAUCUAUUUAGUGCUGCUCUUCUUUCCCUGUGUCUUAUGCUAGCUUACAUAUUUUUAAAGGAUUAAUGUAUGCACUCUGUGCUCUGUUUUCUGGACUGUUACUAAUGUGGCAGCAUAGAUGUUUGUUUGUUUCUCUCUUCAGGUGUGCAUCGUUAUCCUGGACCAUAUACUAUGAUGCGUCCAUGUUUUCCUCCACGCCCAAUGCCUCCUGUUGGUGUUGUGCAAAUUCAACGGCCAGCAACAAUUCCUGGAAUUCGUGGUGCUCCUCCUAUGGUAGCCCCUCCUGCCAGACCGCCUGCUCCAGCUGUCACACCCGCUGACAAACCACCAACUGCAGUUUAUGUCGGGAAGAUCGCCCCAACAGUGGACAAUGGUUUGCUUCUUUCGCUUCUUCGGAUUUGUGGACCUGUCAAGAGUUGGAAGCGCACCCAAAAUCCAAGUAAUGGCAAACCAGUAGCGUUUGGCUUUUGUGAGUUUGAAUCUGCUGAAGGCAUCCUUCGUGCGACACGGUUGCUGAACAAAUUGAGCAUUGAUGGGCAAGAACUGGUGGUUAAUAUUAAUGAUGCCACCAAAGAGUACCUGAAGAAACAUGUUGAAGAAAAGAAGAAGGUACAUGAGAACACCAAAAAGGAGGAAGAUGAAGGUGGGGAUGGGACUUCUGCUGUUGCUGAAAAUGAAUCAUUGAAGCUUGUUUCUGGUAAAACAGAUGAAACAGAAGAUUCCGGAGAUAAGGAUAGUGAAGAAAACACCAAGAAAUUUGGGAUUGUUACAAAUGAGGAUUCUGAGGCUGAUAAGGCUGCUGCAGAACUAAUAAACAGUAUUAUUGAAGAGUGGUUAAAGACUCGACCCCUGCCGCCGCCACCACCACCCCCGCCGGUUCAACCAUCUGCUGACAUCUCAUCCAAACAUAACAACGGGGAGUCUGUUGUUGACAUGGCAAUGACUGAUUCUGAAGAUAAUGAUGAUUGUGUUGACAAAAGGACAGUUAGUGAAACUGAAAAGACAGAAAAUGACUCUCUUGAUAGGAGGAAAGAUAAAGAGCAUGACAAGGAGAAGCAGGAAAAGGAAAAAGAACUUCAAAGAUAUGAGCGUGAGCGUGAGCGAGAAAGAGUCAGGAGGGAUAGAGAUAAGGAACUCAAGCAUAGAGAAGUGGAAAGGAUGUACAAAGAUCACCUUAAAGAGUGGGAAUCCAGGGAGAGAGAUAAAGAAUAUCAAAGACAAUACGAGAAGGACCGUGAGAAGGAAAAAGAACGUGAACGCAAAAGGGAGAUCAUGAAGCAGGAAGAUGAAAGCGAUGAAGAGGAUUCGAGGAAAAGAAGACGAAGGAGCAGUAACGCACUUGAAGAGAGGAAAAGGCGGAGGCAACGCGAAAAACAGGAAGACUUCGCGGACAAAUUAAAAGAGGAACAGGAAAUUGCUGAAGCAAGGAGGCAUGCAAUAGAGCUGCAACAGCAGGCAGAUGAAGCAGCUGCGGCAGAGUCUGCUAUAUUUAUGGAGGUUGAUGGUGAUGACGGGAAGGAAGCAGAUGCACCAAACAAGCCGAUUGUUUCAGAUGAUGAUAAUGUCGUCAGCAUUGCUAAUGGUGUUGAUGCAGAUGAUGGCAAAACUCAUAAGGACUGUAACGGUGAUGAAGCAAGUAUGGUACCUGGUCAAAUUCUAGAUAUCAAACAAAAUAGCAAUGCUCCAGCAAAAAAGUUGGGUUUUGGUUUGAUUGGCUCUGGUAAACGGACAUCUGUUCCAUCAGUUUUUGCUGAAGAGGAUGAUGAUGAUAAUAAGGAUAAACGGAUAAGACCUUUAGUACCUAUUGAUUACUCCACUGAGGAAUUGCAAGCUGUGGAGGCGGAUUCUUAUUCUGACCAACCCAAUAAUAUUGUAGCAGCUGCUGAGUUUGCUAAGCGCAUCUUGGUAUCUAAUCAAAAGGAAGAGCAGCCUGAAACCGAAAGGAGUAGGAGAGCCAUUGAUAGAUCGACCCUAAGGGAUAAAAGUCGAAAUGAUGAAGAUGGUGCACGUCUUGGUGAUGACAGAAGAGAAAUGAUGCAUGAUCGAGACAACGAUAAGCCCAAGUUAGAGAACAAGAAAGUUUUGGAUGCAAAACAAUUGAUUGACAUGAUUCCGAGAACAAAGGAAGAGCUUUUUUCCUAUGAUAUUAAUUGGGCAAUAUAUGAGAAGCAUGAGUUGCAUGAUAGAAUGAGGCCUUGGAUCUCGAAAAAGAUAAUCGAAUUUCUUGGUGAGGAGGAAUCGACGUUGGUGGAAUAUAUUGUCUCGUGCACCAAAGAUCAUGUGCAUGCAUCGAAAAUGCUGGAGCUCCUACAGUCAAUUUUGGACGUCGAGGCUGAAAUGUUUGUCCUUAAGAUGUGGAGGAUGCUAAUAUUUGAAAUUAAGAAAGUUGAAGCAGGACUAUCAGUAAGAGGGAAGGCUUGAAGUUGAGGCAACUGUCUUGUAACAUUUUCUGCUUUUUGUCUGCAACUGUUUUCUUACUUCUAAGCUUAUGUUGUAAGACAGCUGCUGUAAACAUUUGAGUGAGAUUGAAUUACUGGUUCCCAUAUGUUCUGAUGUCUAUUGUAGAAAUGUAUACAUGAACUGUUGAUUCUCAAUAUUUGAUCUGAAAUUGCUGCGUACUUGCGUGU
Molecule: ribosomal RNA, 3998 nt
Filed under: Triticum aestivum (bread wheat)
Lineage: Eukaryota; Viridiplantae; Streptophyta; Magnoliopsida; Poales; Poaceae
Description: partial small subunit ribosomal RNA
Source: RNAcentral